CAUCGCGCAUACAUAUAACAGCUCAGCCAUUGCGCGCGUUGAUGGCGAAGAUGGACACAAGAGCAGCACAUGCCUUUGUCAUCCUCCUGCUGGUCUCAAGUGAAGUGAUUUCCUUCGUGGUGACACAUGAAGUUGCAUCGCCUCUUCCACCGGAUGGUUUCUCAACUCUUCCAACUGAAAUAGCAGGGCAGGUCACAGGGGUGAACGACCAUGAAGAGAAGGCAAUAUUCGGGUCACCCAAUACCCUGAUCCGUCCACCACGGCUUCCUCCAUGUAUGUCACGAGCAUGUUAGCCGCAAAAAUUAUGUAACUGGCGGCUUACCAUUUGUUAGGUUGGCAACUUGUUGACGAUGUACUGCCGUGCAAACUUCCAUUUCGUUAUGAUGGCUGUACAUUUCAAUUUGCAACACAUGGUGAAUAAGAAUGAUCACUGGGAGGAAA
Long non-coding RNA from Lolium perenne, 441 nucleotides. RefSeq lists it as uncharacterized. Lineage: Eukaryota; Viridiplantae; Streptophyta; Magnoliopsida; Poales; Poaceae. The record is from RefSeq and is a predicted model, not a curated record.